UACAGAGGGUGCGAGCGUUAAUCGGAAUUACUGGGCGUAAAGCGCGCGUAGGCGGCUUUGCAAGCCGGAUGUGAAAUCCCCGGGCUUAACCUGGGAACUGCAUUCGGGACUGCAUUGCUAGAGUAUGGGAGAGGGAAGUGGAAUUUCAGGUGUAGCGGUGAAAUGCGUAGAUAUCUGAAGGAACAUCAGUGGCGAAAGCGACUCCUGGACCAAUACUGACGCUCAUGUGCGAAAGCGUGGGGGAGCAAACAGG
This 253-nucleotide ribosomal RNA is filed under the name uncultured bacterium. Its description in RNAcentral is "partial 16S ribosomal RNA". It matches the Rfam family "Bacterial small subunit ribosomal RNA", at positions 524 to 776 of the family's 1533-position model. The record is from RNAcentral.